RNAcentral lists this ribosomal RNA (497 nucleotides) under uncultured bacterium. Its description in RNAcentral is "partial 16S ribosomal RNA". It matches the Rfam family "Bacterial small subunit ribosomal RNA", at positions 28 to 507 of the family's 1533-position model. The record is from RNAcentral.
GACGAACGCUGGCGGCGUGCCUAAUACAUGCAAGUCGAACGAGAGCGACCGGUGCUUGCACUGGUCAAUCUAGUGGCGAACGGGUGAGUAACACGUGGGUAACCUGCCCAUCAGAGGGGGAUAACAUUCGAAACGGAUGCUAAAACCGCAUAGGUCCUUUAACCGCAUGGUUGAAGGAGGAAAAGAGGCGCAAGCUUCUGCUGAUGGAUGGACCCGCGGUGCAUUAGCUAGUUGGUGAGGUAACGGCUCACCAAGGCCGUGAUGCAUAGCCGACCUGAGAGGGUGAUCGGCCACAUUGGGACUGAGACACGGCCCAAACUCCUACGGGAGGCAGCAGUAGGGAAUCUUCCGCAAUGGACGCAAGUCUGACGGAGCAACGCCGCGUGAGUGAAGAAGGUUUUCGGAUCGUAAAACUCUGUUGUUAGAGAAGAACAAGUGCUAGAGUAACUGUUAGCGCCUUGACGGUAUCUAACCAGAAAGCCACGGCUAACUACGUG